UACGUAGGGUGCGAGCGUUAAUCGGAAUUACUGGGCGUAAAGCGUGCGCAGGCGGUUCGUUAAGUCAGAUGUGAAAGUCACAGGCUCAACCUGUGAAUGCCGCUGGAAACUGUCUGGCUAGAGUCCGGAAGGGGCGAGUGGAAUUCCUGGUGUAGCGGUGAAAUGCGCAGAUAUCAGGAGGAACACCGGUGGCGAAGGCGGGAUCCUGGGCCAGUACUGACGCUGAGGAGCGAAAGCGUGGGGAGCAAACAGG
RNAcentral lists this ribosomal RNA (253 nucleotides) under uncultured bacterium. RNAcentral's name for it is "partial 16S ribosomal RNA". It matches the Rfam family "Bacterial small subunit ribosomal RNA", at positions 524 to 776 of the family's 1533-position model. The record is from RNAcentral.